This is a long non-coding RNA of Procambarus clarkii (red swamp crayfish), 673 nucleotides long. RefSeq lists it as uncharacterized. Lineage: Eukaryota; Metazoa; Arthropoda; Malacostraca; Decapoda; Cambaridae. The record is from RefSeq and is a predicted model, not a curated record.
AAGUUCAAACAUUCGAGCUGGGAAUCAUUAUUGGUUCAUCAGAGCCUCGCUCGUAUUUGGGGAGGUGAAGGAGUGGUUGUUGGCCAUUGAUAAUUGACACUUCAGACUCGGAAAAUGUUAACGAAUGGAGUGAGUUUGAGGGUGAAUAUGUCAACCAGUCAGCGGCCGGGUGUGGUUGCCUGCUGGAUAUAAAGGGAGGAUGAAACACACAUCACGUCAGUGUGUUUUACCUCACUUUUGGUGGAUAGUUCUAGGCUCGUCUCUUGAAGUUCUAUAUUACGGUCAACAGUCCACUGGGGAAGCGGCACCCUAGUUCUUCCUGCACUUAAGAUAGCAGUUUCCUUUGGUGCCAGAACCCCAAGCCUAAGUCUCCCAGCGUUCAAGGACACGGAACACUACAGUGCAUCAUGUGGAAUACCUUGUGACAUGGGCGACUUUGAUUGUUGGCGCCUGAGGCGGCUAGUUUGUGGACCCCGUACUCUUCCUGUGAGCAGUGGCGCCAAAGGUCCCAUCAGACCUCGUCUUGGAAUAUUAGAACUUCAACAAUCAUUAAACACCUUAGUUACAUGUCAGCAGGCAGCAAUAUUUAGGUAAAAUAUAAUAGAGUAUAAUGGCAGUUAAUUAGUUAAUAAUAAUAGAUCUAUAGUUUACGUAAGACAAAACCCAAGAUUCA